AGCUCCAAAAGCGUAUAUUAAAGUUGUUGCAGUUAAAAAGCUCGUAGUUGGAUUUGUGGGUGGACUUGUUGGCCCGACGCUUUGCGUGGGUGCUGUACAGGUCCGUCCAUCCUUGGGUGGAAUCUGCGUGGCAUUAGGUUGUCGUGCAGGGGAUGCCCAUCUUUUACUGUGAAAAAAUUAGAGUGUUCAAAGCAGGCUUAUGCCGUUGAAUAUGUUAGCAUGGAAUAAUGAGAUAGGACCUGGGUACUAUUUUGUUGGUUUGCGCACCGAGGUAAUGAUUAAUAGGGACAGUUGGGGGUAUUCGUAUUCCAUUGUCAGAGGUGAAAUUCUUGGAUUUUUGGAAGACGAACGACUGCGAAAGCAUUUACCAAGGAUGUUUUCAUUAAUCAAGAACGAAAGU
RNAcentral lists this ribosomal RNA (400 nucleotides) under phytoplankton environmental sample. RNAcentral describes it as "partial small subunit ribosomal RNA". It matches the Rfam family "Eukaryotic small subunit ribosomal RNA", at positions 587 to 990 of the family's 1831-position model. The record is from RNAcentral.